Molecule: ribosomal RNA, 422 nt
Filed under: uncultured bacterium
Lineage: Bacteria
Description: bacterial SSU rRNA
Rfam family: Bacterial small subunit ribosomal RNA
Source: RNAcentral
AUCUUGGACAAUGGGGGGAACCCUGAUCCAGCGAUGCCGCGUGAGUGAAGAAGGCCCUCGGGUCGUAAAGCUCUUUAGGCUGGGAAGAAGGUUAGAGGAGGAAAUGCCUUUAACUUGACGGUACCAGCAGAAUAAGCACCGGCAAACUCUGUGCCAGCAGCCGCGGUAAUACAGAGGGUGCGAGCGUUAAUCGGAGUAACUGGGCGUAAAGGGCGCGUAGGCGGUUUAGCGAGUGUGAUGUGAAAGCCCCGGGCUUAACCUGGGAAGUGCAUCGCAAACGGCUAGGCUAGAGUAGAUGAGAGGGUGAUGGAAUUUCCGGUGUAGCGGUGAAAUGCGUAGAGAUCGGAAGGAACGUCGAUGGCGAAGGCAGUCACCUGGCAUCAUACUGACGCUGAGGCGCGAAAGCGUGGGGAGCAAACAGG